CCAUGGUGUAGCGGUUAUCACUCCAGACUUUGAAUCUUGCAACCUGGGUUCCAAUCCCGGUGG
Molecule: transfer RNA, 63 nt
Filed under: Dichanthelium oligosanthes
Lineage: Eukaryota; Viridiplantae; Streptophyta; Magnoliopsida; Poales; Poaceae
Rfam family: tRNA
About the family: Transfer RNA (tRNA) molecules are approximately 80 nucleotides in length. Their secondary structure includes four short double-helical elements and three loops (D, anti-codon, and T loops).
Source: Rfam by way of RNAcentral